RNAcentral lists this long non-coding RNA (208 nucleotides) under Elaeis guineensis (African oil palm). RNAcentral's name for it is "long non-coding RNA (EGUI_LNC078960)". Lineage: Eukaryota; Viridiplantae; Streptophyta; Magnoliopsida; Arecales; Arecaceae. The record is from RNAcentral.
CUUGCCCACUCCAGCCAACUCGGUAGGCAUCAUAGUUCACCUCAGCAUCUUGCAGCUACUUUUGGAGGUCGGAGAGCUUCUGCGACCAGUCUCGAUCGCGAUCAGUUUGGACUGUGAGCCAGGACGAGCUCCCUUCCAACUGGCCGAUCUUCUCCCGUGCGGCCGCCAGUUCGACUUCAAGGGAGCUAAUCUUGGAGGCCUGAGUCCA